GUAAGGCGCUCGCUGGGGAGGCGCAGGGCGGAGGCGUGGGCGGGAGCGCCGGAGGUGCAGAUGCUGGAGGGCUCCGCUGCCAAAAUCUCGAUACAAGACUUUUUCAGGAUCUGAGGAGAAAAGCAUCAUGAAAGUGAAGGAGACUGACUGACGACCCACUACCCCACUAACGUGCAAGAAGUGACAGCUUUCAGUUCACUCUUAAUCCACUCCAGAUCACAGCUGGCAACCCGACCUUUAUCGCGGCUCAACAAGCCACGUACCCCAGUGACAGCAGCACCUUUAUAACAGGCUGUUUUUCAUUUGAGUGAAAACGCAUUAGGUUGGUCUUAAGAAAUACAGCGCAUACUUUGAUCACGUCAGGCCCAAUAUCAGUCGUACAGAUCAAAAGGAGCAAAGUCCCAGCAAGAUCUCCUGGAGUUAUGGACAGGAUCCAUGAAUGGAAUAACUUGAACCUAUUUUGCCUUAUUCCUGCCAGUGUGCUGGCGGAUUAUUGAUGGUAGACAUUAUAGAAAGUCCAGGAAAGAUAAAUUAAUUACUUUGACCUUUUAUCUCUCUGUAGGCCAUAAUUAUAGCAGGAAG
This is a long non-coding RNA of Mugil cephalus (flathead mullet), 582 nucleotides long. RefSeq lists it as uncharacterized. The transcript has 3 exons. NCBI's taxonomy places the organism in Eukaryota, Metazoa, Chordata, Actinopteri, Mugiliformes, Mugilidae. The record is from RefSeq and is a predicted model, not a curated record.